GGGCGGUUAGCUCAGCUGGGAGAGCACCUGCCUUACAAGCAGGGGGUCGGCAGUUCGAUCCUGUCACCGCCCACCA
RNAcentral lists this transfer RNA (76 nucleotides) under Carboxydothermus hydrogenoformans Z-2901. Its description in RNAcentral is "tRNA-Val (TAC) (tRNA-Val-TAC-1-1)". It matches the Rfam family "tRNA". From Rfam's summary of the family: Transfer RNA (tRNA) molecules are approximately 80 nucleotides in length. The record is from RNAcentral. RNAcentral also lists the same sequence under 3 other names. Lineage: Bacteria; Bacillati; Bacillota; Clostridia; Thermoanaerobacterales; Thermoanaerobacteraceae.